CGGCAACGGAUAUCUCGGCUCUCGCAUCGAGGAAGAACGUAGCGAAAUGCGAUACUUGGUGUGAAUUGCAGAAUCCCGUGAACCAUCGAGUCUUUGAACGCAAGUUGCGCCCGAAGCCAUCAGGCCGAGGGCACGCCUGCCUGGGCGUCACACGCCGUUGCCCCC
RNAcentral lists this ribosomal RNA (165 nucleotides) under Malus orientalis. Its description in RNAcentral is "5.8S ribosomal RNA". The stretch from base 3 to 150 matches the Rfam family "5.8S ribosomal RNA". From Rfam's summary of the family: 5.8S ribosomal RNA (5.8S rRNA) is a component of the large subunit of the eukaryotic ribosome. It is transcribed by RNA polymerase I as part of the 45S precursor that also contains 18S and 28S rRNA. The record is from RNAcentral. Lineage: Eukaryota; Viridiplantae; Streptophyta; Magnoliopsida; Rosales; Rosaceae.